GCUUUGCAUUGGUGUUAAUCUCAUUCAUUUAUCUUCUGUUUUCAAAUUGAUAUGAUUUUUUGAAGUUGACCCAUGCUUGUUGACUUUCACCAUGCUUACUUGAAUUUGGUUUGACUUCAUGAUUUUACUUGACUGCCUUCCUCUCAUCCAAAUGCCAUGAAAUUUUACAUGUAUACCAUGUUAGAUGCUAGGAUUGAGUGUGAUUUAUUUCAUGAUUUUUGAAAAUAUUUGGGUUGACUUUUGAUGCAAGUCAUUCUGUUGACUUUUGUAUGCUUUCUUUGCCUUACUUUGACUUCAAAUGUUC
Molecule: long non-coding RNA, 304 nt
Filed under: Lathyrus oleraceus (garden pea)
Lineage: Eukaryota; Viridiplantae; Streptophyta; Magnoliopsida; Fabales; Fabaceae
Description: Pisum sativum (pea) long non-coding RNA (PSAT_LNC040530)
Source: RNAcentral